GGGCUGGUAGCUGAGACGGUCUAGCGGCGGUUUGAAGAACCGCAGACGAGGAUUCGAGCGCCUCCCGGCCCAC
RNAcentral lists this transfer RNA (73 nucleotides) under Novipirellula rosea. Its description in RNAcentral is "tRNA-Phe". It matches the Rfam family "tRNA". From Rfam's summary of the family: Transfer RNA (tRNA) molecules are approximately 80 nucleotides in length. Their secondary structure includes four short double-helical elements and three loops (D, anti-codon, and T loops). The record is from RNAcentral. RNAcentral also lists the same sequence under 1 other name. Lineage: Bacteria; Pseudomonadati; Planctomycetota; Planctomycetia; Pirellulales; Pirellulaceae.